AGAGUUUGAUCCUGGCUCAGAUUGAACGCUGGCGGCAGGCUUAACACAUGCAAGUCGAACGGUAGCAGGAAGAAAGCUUGCUUUCUUUGCUGACGAGUGGCGGACGGGUGAGUAAUGCUUGGGAAUCUGGCUUAUGGAGGGGGAUAACUGUGGGAAACUGCAGCUAAUACCGCGUAUUCUCUGAGGAGGAAAGGGUGGGACCUUAGGGCCACCUGCCAUAAGAUGAGCCCAAGUGGGAUUAGGUAGUUGGUGGGGUAAAGGCCUACCAAGCCUGCGAUCUCUAGCUGGUCUGAGAGGAUGACCAGCCACACUGGAACUGAGACACGGUCCAGACUCCUACGGGAGGCAGCAGUGGGGAAUAUUGCGCAAUGGGGGGAACCCUGACGCAGCCAUGCCGCGUGAAUGAAGAAGGCCUUCGGGUUGUAAAGUUCUUUCGGUAAUGAGGAAGGGAUGUUGUUAAAUAGAUAGCAUCAUUGACGUUAAUUACAGAAGAAGCACCGGCUAACUCCGUGCCAGCAGCCGCGGUAAUACGGAGGGUGCGAGCGUUAAUCGGAAUAACUGGGCGUAAAGGGCACGCAGGCGGACUUUUAAGUGAGAUGUGAAAUCCCCGAGCUUAACUUGGGAACUGCAUUUCAGACUGGGAGUCUAGAGUACUUUAGGGAGGGGUAGAAUUCCACGUGUAGCGGUGAAAUGCGUAGAGAUGUGGAGGAAUACCGAAGGCGAAGGCAGCCCCUUGGGAAUGUACUGACGCUCAUGUGCGAAAGCGUGGGGAGCAAACAGGAUUAGAUACCCUGGUAGUCCACGCUGUAAACGCUGUCGAUUUGGGGAUUGGGCUAUAUGCUUGGUGCCCGAAGCUAACGUGAUAAAUCGACCGCCUGGGGAGUACGGCCGCAAGGUUAAAACUCAAAGGAAUUGACGG
This 919-nucleotide ribosomal RNA is filed under the name uncultured bacterium. RNAcentral describes it as "bacterial SSU rRNA". It matches the Rfam family "Bacterial small subunit ribosomal RNA", at positions 8 to 916 of the family's 1533-position model. The record is from RNAcentral.